Molecule: ribosomal RNA, 498 nt
Filed under: uncultured bacterium
Lineage: Bacteria
Description: partial 16S ribosomal RNA
Rfam family: Bacterial small subunit ribosomal RNA
Source: RNAcentral
AUUGAACGCCGGCGGCAUGCCUUACACAUGCAAGUCGAACGGUAACAGGUCUUCGGAUGCUGACGAGUGGCGAACGGGUGAGUAAUACAUCGGAACGUGCCUAGUAGUGGGGGAUAACUACUCGAAAGAGUGGCUAAUACCGCAUGAGAUCUACGGAUGAAAGCAGGGGAUCGCAAGACCUUGUGCUACUAGAGCGGCCGAUGGCAGAUUAGGUAGUUGGUGGGAUAAGAGCUUACCAAGCCGACGAUCUGUAGCUGGUCUGAGAGGACGAUAAGCCACACUGGGACUGAGACACGGCCCAGACUCCUACGGGAGGCAGCAGUGGGGAAUUUUGGACAAUGGGCGAAAGCCUGAUCCAGCAAUGCCGCGUGCAGGAUGAAGGCCUUCGGGUUGUAAACUGCUUUUGUACGGAACGAAAAGCCCCGGGUUAAUACCCUGGGGUCAUGACGGUACCGUAAGAAUAAGCACCGGCUAACUACGUGCCAGCAGCCGCCGUAA